CGGUUGGCUUUAGCUCAGUAGUUACUUCUCUAACAUUCAAAGCUGAAUAAUCCUCUCGGGGGUUCAAAUCGCACGGGUGCUAUCUAAACUUUUU
This is a non-coding RNA of Pelobates cultripes (western spadefoot toad), 94 nucleotides long. Lineage: Eukaryota; Metazoa; Chordata; Amphibia; Anura; Pelobatidae. The record is from the annotation of a GenBank genome assembly.